GUAUCGGAAACUGUAUUGCUAGAGUCUAAGAAGAGCCACUGGAAUUUCCGUUGUAGGGGUAAAAUCCGUAGAUAACGGAAGGAACACCAAAAGCGAAAGCAGGUGGCUGGCUUAGUACUGACGCUCAGAGACGAAAGCGUGGGGAGCGAACGGGAUUAGAUACCCCGGUAGUCCACGCUGUAAACGAUGAGUGCUAGGUAUUGGAGGGAUUUGACCCCCUUCAGUGCCCACAGCUAACGCGUUAAGCACUCCGCCUGGGGAGUACGGUCGCAAGACUAAAACUCAAAGGAAUAGACGGGGACCCGCACAAGCGGUGGAUCAUGUGGUUUAAUUCGACGAUAAGCGAGAAACCUCACCUAGACUUGACAUCUCGAGAAGGUUCUGGAAACAGAACUGUGCCGCAAGGAACUCGAUGACAGGUGCUGCAUGGUUGUCGUCAGCUCGUGCCCUGAGGUGUUCGGUUAAGUCCGUAAACGAGCGCAACCCUUGUCAUAUGUUGUAUUUCUCAUAUGAAACUGCCGGCUCCAAGCCGGAGGAAGGUAGGGAUGACGUCAAAUCAGCAUGGCCCUUAUGUCUAGGGCUACACACGUGAUACAAUGGGUCGUACAAUGGGUAGCCAAGGAGCAAUCCGGAGCCAAUCCCUAAAACGAUCCUCAGUUCGGAUUGAGGUCUGCAACUCGACCUCAUGAAGUUGGAAUCGCUAGUAACCGUGGAUCAUAACGCCACGGUGAAUAUGUUCCCGGGUCUUGUACUCACCGCCCGUCACAUCACGGAAGGUGGAAGCACCCAAAGCACCCUUGAUAAUAG
Molecule: ribosomal RNA, 807 nt
Filed under: uncultured organism
Description: bacterial SSU rRNA
Rfam family: Bacterial small subunit ribosomal RNA
Source: RNAcentral